CCAUUAACCAUAAUAUUAAAUUUUAAAAAAGGAAUAUUAUUCUAAGAGCAAGCAUUUACAUGUGAAAGCACAUGUAAAACGACAUAAAAUUAAAGUUGUAAAAAAUGAUAUUGUUAGAAAACAUAUAAAACAAAGUAAAAAAUGAUUUUGUAAUCUAAUUCCAAAGGAGGGGCUAACAUGGUUUAAAAGAAUCAAUGUUUGAGAUUUGAGCUUAUUUUGUUAAUAAUUUCCAUAAGGGUCUGUUUUGGUCAAAUUCAUAAAGUGUAGGGGCUGAAUUGGUCGAUUAGACCAAAAAUUGAAAUUGGGGGAAAAGGGGUCAGGUCUCCGUUUUCUUCAAUUUGAGAAAAAGAAACAACCGAUCGAAGAAAGGGUUCCGAUGGCCUUCGAUCGGUAAAAGAAGCAGGGGGAGGAUCUCUGGGGUUUCACUGGACCGAAGGAAGGAGAAGAACGAAGAAUGAAGUUGUUGUCGAUUCUUGGUGGGUGAAGGUUUGAGGAUGUGAGCACCUCUGAUGUUCAAAUUGUCUGCAGAAAAGGGAAGAAGCAGGGAGCCUACUUCUUUUUUGCUCUUGCAGUAAGAUGUGAAGGAGGAUGGGGGAAGGUGGGCUUCGAGAGAGAGAGGGGGGAAAGGUCUUUGGUCCUCAGUUGGUCCGAGAAGAAGAAAUACAAUUGAAGGUAGGAAGUGGGUCGGUGGUGGUAAUCUAUCGCAAAUAGGGAGAAGUCGAAAUACUGCGACCUCCUUAUGGUUGCUCUCUUCGUCAGCAGUAGUAAACAGAUGGGGUAAGGACGAAACACUGAGGCUGCUCUUCUUCUACUCCUGUUAGUGUGGUGCGAAGGAGAAGAAAUGUUGGUGGAGGUUUUUUCGACUGAAAGUGACGAAGAAAGAAGGUGUGUAUGUAAUGCUCACCGAGAACAGCCAUCUACAAUGGUGUUUGGCUUGCUUCGAUCAACAGCAAAGAGGCUGCUGCCUCCUUAAUUUUAUAGAAAAAAAAAAUAACAACUUGUGGGGUGUUUCUUGGCAGUUCACGAAGCAGAAAAACAAAAGAGAUACGAGAGAUAGUUUGGCUAUUUGUUUUGGUUGAAUAAAGGUGAAGGAUUUCUGCGAAUAUGGCUGAUUAUUUGUGUUUCUAAUAUGUGUGUACUUUUGGUUGAUCAUUGAAGCAAUACCUUUGACAAGAUCUUAUGCAGACUUUUGAGUGUGAGGGAAGCUUUUGAGUGUAAAAUUGUAUAUUAUAUGAUCUUCUUCCCUUUUUAAGUAGAUUUUACAUGAUUUGAUUGUAUGCCUUUAUGCAGUUUUGUUUUGUCAGGGCUUGUAGAGGCUACAGCUCUUCCAUAUCUUGGUAUUCAAAUCGGAGAAUGAAGUGUUGAUGAGAAGGCAUAAAUAAUCUUUUUUGCUCAGCUUCACAAUAGCUAUUUUACUUGCAACACUUUAUAGUGUCACCAACAGAAGUGGACAAAAAUACUUGUAUAGCUAUUGUAAUUAAUUAAUUAUCACUUUAUCA
This is a long non-coding RNA of Lactuca sativa (garden lettuce), 1499 nucleotides long. RefSeq lists it as uncharacterized. Lineage: Eukaryota; Viridiplantae; Streptophyta; Magnoliopsida; Asterales; Asteraceae. The record is from RefSeq and is a predicted model, not a curated record.